GAUGAGAAGCUUCGACUAAGGUUCGACUCGAGCGAAGCGAGAGAACGUUGCCGCAGGCAACGGCCCGAAGGGCGAGGCGCUUUAGC
Molecule: small RNA, 86 nt
Filed under: Klebsiella pneumoniae
Lineage: Bacteria; Pseudomonadati; Pseudomonadota; Gammaproteobacteria; Enterobacterales; Enterobacteriaceae
Description: RtT RNA
Rfam family: RtT RNA
About the family: This family represents a bacterial cis-regulatory element known as RtT RNA. The exact function of RtT is unknown although it is thought that it may be involved in changing the cellular response in relation to amino acid starvation.
Source: RNAcentral